This 705-nucleotide non-coding RNA is filed under the name Pan troglodytes (chimpanzee). The record is from RNAcentral. Lineage: Eukaryota; Metazoa; Chordata; Mammalia; Primates; Hominidae.
GGGAGCGGGGCCGACACAGGACUGCAGUUGACAGCAGAUAACUGAAAGCUCGGAAAGCGAAACCGUGGAUAAGCAGGGGAACUGUGGCAUCCCAUUUAAAAUUGCUUCUGAAGAGAAGCAUGAGGUUACAUCUGUAAUCUCCCUGCAGCAGAGUCAACUGCAUAAGAAACCAAAAGACACACCUGCUCCAUGCCAGCUUCGAUAAUUUCUUUGUACCUUCGGCGAAAGAAGCCCAUCUGAAAGGCAGAAAGAAAGAGGAGAAGCUGAGUUAGAAGUGCUGAAGAAUCAGCCAUUGUGACCCCAAGGCAGUCUGUCCCUGGCCUAAGCCACCACAUAAAAAGUCAGACCAUCUGCUGGAAGAACCACAUGGAGAGGCCCUGAGUCGACAUGGAGAGGAAGAAGGACUUAACUGAAUCCAGCCUUCCAGCUGUCCCUACCAAGGUGCCAGGCACGAGAAUGAAGCUGUCUUGGACUCUGAAGACCAGCUUAGCCACCAGGUAAAUGCCACUAAGUGACCUCACUCAAUGUCAUGUGGGACGGAAGAAUCACCCCGCCAAACCCUUCCUGGAUCCCUGACCCAGAAAUUUGUCAGAUGUAAUGGUUGUGAAAAGCCACUCAAUUUGGGGGCAGUUUGUAUGCAGCAUAGCUAGCUGGUAUGAUACAACAGCCUGCAAUUCAGGCAGCAGCAGCACUAACAACGAUGAA